UCCCUCUUAGCUCAGUGGUAGAGCGUGUCACUCGUAUAUUACAUUAAUAUGACAAGGUCAGUCGUUCAAUCCGGCUAGCGGGAA
Armillaria luteobubalina is the source of this 84-nucleotide non-coding RNA. Lineage: Eukaryota; Fungi; Basidiomycota; Agaricomycetes; Agaricales; Physalacriaceae. The record is from the annotation of a GenBank genome assembly.